AAAACCCCACUCUUAUAAAUUGAAUCAUUUUAUAUUAUGUAUGUAAUAAAUAAAGAUCUCUUUCAACAACGGAUCUCUUGGUUCUCGCAUCGAUGAAGAACGUAGCGAAGUGCGAUAAGUAAUGUGAAUUGCAGAAUUCCGUGAAUCAUCG
This 151-nucleotide ribosomal RNA is filed under the name Glomus sp. CMCCROC9. RNAcentral's name for it is "5.8S ribosomal RNA". The stretch from base 58 to 151 matches the Rfam family "5.8S ribosomal RNA", at positions 1 to 94 of the family's 154-position model. From Rfam's summary of the family: 5.8S ribosomal RNA (5.8S rRNA) is a component of the large subunit of the eukaryotic ribosome. It is transcribed by RNA polymerase I as part of the 45S precursor that also contains 18S and 28S rRNA. Lineage: Eukaryota; Fungi; Glomeromycota; Glomeromycetes; Glomerales; Glomeraceae. The record is from RNAcentral.